This 501-nucleotide ribosomal RNA is filed under the name uncultured bacterium. Its description in RNAcentral is "partial 16S ribosomal RNA". It matches the Rfam family "Bacterial small subunit ribosomal RNA", at positions 29 to 523 of the family's 1533-position model. The record is from RNAcentral.
AUUGAACGCUGGCGGCAUGCCUUACACAUGCAAGUCGAACGGCAGCACGGGUGCUUGCACCUGGUGGCGAGUGGCGAACGGGUGAGUAAUACAUCGGAACGUACCUUAUCGUGGGGGAUAACGCAGCGAAAGCUGUGCCAAUACCGCAUACGCCCUGAGGGGGAAAGCGGGGGAUCGAAAGACCUCGCGCGAUUAGAGCGGCCGAUGCCUGAUUAGCGUGUUGGUGGGGUAAAAGCCCACCAAGGCGACGAUCAGUAGCUGGUCUGAGAGGACGAUCAGCCAAACUGGGACUGAAACACGGCCCAAACUCCUACGGGGGGCAGCAGUGGGGAAUUUUGGACAAUGGGGGCAACCCUGAUCCAGCAAUGCCGCGUGAGUGAAGAAGGCCUUCGGGUUGUAAAGCUCUUUUGUCAGGGAAGAAACACCGGCUCUAACACAGUCCGGGAAUGACGGUACCUGAAGAAUAAGCACCGGCUAACUACGUGCCAGCCGCCGCAGUAA